Molecule: ribosomal RNA, 425 nt
Filed under: uncultured bacterium
Lineage: Bacteria
Description: partial 16S ribosomal RNA
Rfam family: Bacterial small subunit ribosomal RNA
Source: RNAcentral
GUGGGGGAUAUUGCACAAUGGGGGAAACCCUGAUGCAGCGACGCCGCGUGAAGGAAGACGUACUUCGGUAUGUAAACUUCUAUCAGCAGGGAAGAAGAUGACGGUACCUGACUAAGAAGCCCCGGCUAACUACGUGCCAGCAGCCGCGGUAAUACGUCGGGGGCAAGCGUUAUCCGGAUUUACUGGGUGUAAAGGGAGCGUAGACGGUGAAGCAAGUCUGAUGUGAAAACCCGGGGCUCAACUCCGGGAUUGCAUUGGAAACUGUUUUACUUGAGUGAUGGAGGGGCAAGCGGAAUUCCUGGUGUAGCGGUGAAAUGCGUAGAUAGCAGGAAGAACACCGGUGGCGAAGGCGGCUUGCUGGACAGUAACUGACGUUGAGGCUCGAAAGCGUUGGGAGCAAACAGGAUUAGAUACCCUAGUAGUCC